Molecule: ribosomal RNA, 253 nt
Filed under: uncultured bacterium
Lineage: Bacteria
Description: partial 16S ribosomal RNA
Rfam family: Bacterial small subunit ribosomal RNA
Source: RNAcentral
GACGAACCGUGCGAACGUUGUUCGGAAUCACUGGGCUUAAAGGGCGCGUAGGCGGUCGGCCAAGUCCGGGGUGAAAGCCCCCGGCUCAACCGGGGAAGGGCCUUGGAUACUGGCCGGCUGGAGGGAGGUAGGGGCAGCUGGAACUUCCGGUGGAGCGGUGAAAUGCGUUGAUAUCGGAAGGAACGCCGGUGGCGAAAGCGAGCUGCUGGCCCUCUUCUGACGCUGAGGCGCGAAAGCUAGGGGAGCAAACGGG